ACGACUGUAGCUUAGUGGUCAAGCGGCAAUAGCUAUUAUUGCAGACUCGGGUUCGAGUCCCGACGGUCAUC
Non-coding RNA from Xylariaceae sp. FL0594, 71 nucleotides. The record is from the annotation of a GenBank genome assembly. Lineage: Eukaryota; Fungi; Ascomycota; Sordariomycetes; Xylariales; Xylariaceae.